Molecule: ribosomal RNA, 975 nt
Filed under: human gut metagenome
Description: bacterial LSU rRNA
Rfam family: Bacterial large subunit ribosomal RNA
Source: RNAcentral
ACGGUCCUAAGGUAGCGAAAUUCCUUGUCGGGUAAGUUCCGACCUGCACGAAAGGUGUAAUGAUUUGGGCACUGUCUCAACGAGAGACUCGGUGAAAUUAUAAUACCCGUGAAGAUGCGGGUUACCCGCGACAGGACGGAAAGACCCCAUGGAGCUUUACUGCAGUUUAAUAUUGGGUAUCUGUCAAGCAUGUACAGGAUAGGUAGGAGCCGGAGAAGAUAGGACGCCAGUCUUAUCUGAGGCGCUGUUGGGAUACUACCCUUGCUUGACGGAUGCUCUAACUCAGGCCUGUGAUCCAGGCCGAGGACAGUGUUUGACGGGCAGUUUGACUGGGGCGGUCGCCUCCUAAAGUGUAACGGAGGCGCCCAAAGGUUCCCUCAGAAUGGUUGGAAAUCAUUCGCAGAGUGUAAAGGUAAAAGGGAGCUUGACUGCGAGAGAGACAACUCGAGCAGGUACGAAAGUAGGGCUUAGUGAUCUGGUGGUACCGCAUGGAAGGGCCAUCACUCAACGGAUAAAAGCUACCCUGGGGAUAACAGGCUUAUCUCCCCCAAGAGUUCACAUCGACGGGGAGGUUUGGCACCUCGAUGUCGGCUCAUCGCAUCCUGGAGCUGAAGUCGGUUCCAAGGGUUGGGCUGUUCGCCCAUUAAAGCGGUACGCGAGCUGGGUUCAGAACGUCGUGAGACAGUUCGGUCCCUAUCCGGCGCGGGCGGAGGAUAUUUGAGAGGAGCUGUCCUUAGUACGAGAGGACCGGGAUGGACGGACCACUGGUGUAUCUGUUGGCUAUCGGAGCCAUGGCAGAGUAGCCAAGUCCGGCAGGGAUAAACGCUGAAGGCAUCUAAGCGUGAAGCCCCCCUCAAGAUAAGAUAUCCCAUCAUAAGAGUAAGACCCCUUGAAGACUACAAGGUUGAUAGGCUUGGAGUGUAAUCGUGGCAACACGUUCAGCUGACAAGUACUAAUAGGUCGAGGGCUUAUCCU